AAGUAAGCAAUAUUCAAUGCGAAAAAUUAUUUGAAUUCCUUUAGUAAGCCCCAACCUAUGCUACAUGUCGUGUAAACCAAAAAAUUAGAACGAUGUAAAAACAGAGGUAUAGAAGAGAUGCUUGCUUAUUUGCUUAACUUUUUUGUCUUAUAGAAUUUGGUUAAUUAAAUUAAUUUAACGAUUUACAAGUUUCGAGAAGACUGAUGGAAUGUUCAAGCACUUGACUUUUCAGAAUGGCAUAUUUCACAAAAAAGAAUUGAAAAGAAUAAAAUUUACGAGUUUUAAGAUUCGUUUCUAAUAAAAUUUAAUUAAAACAUGUUACUAGAACAUAAGGAACAGUGGAAGUUGAAAAGUAGAAAAAGAACUUUUUC
Molecule: non-coding RNA, 371 nt
Organism: Schizosaccharomyces pombe (fission yeast)
Lineage: Eukaryota; Fungi; Ascomycota; Schizosaccharomycetes; Schizosaccharomycetales; Schizosaccharomycetaceae
Source: the annotation of a GenBank genome assembly